GCUGUGGCUCAGUGGUAGAGCAGCUGCUUUGCAUGCAAAAGGUCCUGGGUUCAAAUCCUGGGUAGGGGUG
Non-coding RNA from Podarcis lilfordi (Lilford's wall lizard), 70 nucleotides. NCBI's taxonomy places the organism in Eukaryota, Metazoa, Chordata, Lepidosauria, Squamata, Lacertidae. The record is from the annotation of a GenBank genome assembly.